Molecule: RNA transcript, 7291 nt
Organism: Poecilia reticulata (guppy)
Lineage: Eukaryota; Metazoa; Chordata; Actinopteri; Cyprinodontiformes; Poeciliidae
Gene: phrf1
Gene name: PHD and ring finger domains 1
Source: RefSeq, a predicted model, not a curated record
UUCCGUCCUUAGCCAGCCGGUGGUGUCACUCACCAACAGUGGAGACUUCAAACCUAUUUGAACAUAUCUUUCUCUACUGAAUAGGGCAUUAGAGAAGUUCCUGUGUUGUUGUUUCGAUGGUCAGCCAUGGAUGAAGACGACAGCCAAGAUGAGCUGAUUAACCGCAGUUCAUCUCACAGCAAAGGAAAAAGAGCUGCAUUAUGGGCCAUCUCAGAUGACUCAGAUGAUCUCGACGAGGAAUCUGAAGAGGAAAACUCUGAUAGUGGUGAUGAUGAAGAAGAGCAUAUUGCCAAUGGAGAAGACGAUGAGGACGAAGAUAGUGAGGAAGAGGAUGAUAAUGAAGAGGAGGAAGAUGCUAAGUCAGGGAAAGAAACCUUUGGGGGAAAUUCUGCUGACUUUGCAGAGAUGAGUUCAGACGAGGACAGAGAAAAGUGUCCCAUCUGCCUGAACUCAUUCAAUAGCCAACCUGUUGCAACACCAGAGAACUGUGAGCACUACUUCUGUUUUGACUGCAUCCUAGAAUGGGCUAAGAAUGCAAACUCAUGUCCUGUGGACCGCAUUGUCUUUGACAACAUAUAUCUGAGGAAAUCUUAUGGAGGAAAAGUAAAGAAAAUUGUCACGGUUCAGAAGCCUGUGAAGGCAGGUCAGGAGGAAACGGUAGACUUGGACCUGGAGCAGACCAAUUGUGAGGUGUGCGGGGGCAGUGACCGUGAGGACCGACUCUUGCUCUGCGACGGCUGUGAUGCGGGGUAUCACAUGGAGUGCCUCACGCCUCCUCUUGAUGCUGUUCCUGUUGAGGAAUGGUUUUGUCCUGAGUGUGAGGCCAACAAUCGCCAGUCAAGAGGUUCAGCUGAGGAGAUCAGUGACACAGACAGCCUGUUCUCUACUCCCCGUCCAGCUACCAGUAGGUCUCGAACUCACACCACUGGUCCCACCAGGGCUAUCGCCCGAACGCAACAGAGUGAGAGAGUUCGAGCCAACGUCAACCGACAUCGCAUAACCCAGGCACGCACGUCGCAGUUGGCUCCAACAUAUCUGAUUCAGUCGACUUGGCUAGAUGAAACCAUUAAUGCUGUGGUUGCUGGACUCAACACCGCUGUGUAUGUACGGGACAUCACUCCUCGGGCGCCAUCGAGUCGGAGACGCAAAACUGGAAAACGUAGGAAGGUGAGAAGAAACAAGACAUCUACUAAGGGGAAAAAUUGUCAAGCAGAAAACACAGGAGUCAAAAGGAGAAAACGAAGAGCAAGGAAGAGCAAAUCUAGGAAAAAAGCUAUUGAAAGAAAGGUAGCCACUCCAAGAAGCCGUAUUGCCAGUAAUCUAGGAAUUGUAAAGGAUAAGAAGAGCUCUUCACUUCCAACAGUAUACCGACCAUCAGAGAACACUUUGAGUAGCAUGCGUGCCGACAUUGGAGCUGCAUCACUCUCCAUCUAUGGAGAUCCAUUUGAUCUGGACCCAUUUACUGACCAUGAAGAGGUUGAAGAGCAAGCCCAGGUUACAUCGCUGUUGGAGGCAAAAAGGCGAGGGAUCUCUCGAUCUGCUCUUCGCUCUCAUCAACCUGUGGCUCGUCCAGUCACUGCAGGCCUCUCCAGGAGAGGUGUGGACGUCGCUCACUCGGCGGGUGUUGUGGAGGCUGCUCCUGUCCCUGAUCUACUGGGAAGCAUCCUGUCUGGACAGAGCAUGCUCCUGAUGGACAGUUCUGAUGUCGUCAUUAGUCGAGAUGGUUCUCUUAAAGCUUCAAAGCCAAUGAUCCAACCUACCCCAGUUCCAAGCAGCAGGAACACCAGUAGUUCAAGUGAUACCAGCGCCCUCAACAGUCCAGGGUGUUCGUACAAUUUAGGAGACAACUCUGCAUCUCUGCACCACAAUGGGAGUCCACCAGGAUCCUCACCUACCUCUGUGAAUGGACUGUUGACACCAAGCUCAUCUCAUUUACCCUCCUUCAUGCCCCCCUCUGCCAACCACUACCAACCGAGGCCACAUUCUGACAUAACCUCUGGAGUGAAUCCAAGUUUGCCUUCUCGUGCAAACAGACCAGUAGCAGCCAAUGGCAUGAGAGCCCUAACAGAAACGCCUUCUUCAUCUGCUCACCCCAUUCAGGUUUCCAACUUUGGGGACAAAGGAACAACUCUGUCGCUGUCCCAACCUAAGAAAGCUCCCGUUAAACCCACGUGGGUAGAUGUGUCUGUGCUUCCUCGCAUACCGAAGAUAAAAAGAGAGAAUAGUAGCGUCACAAAUGACAGUGCAGGUCAUGGUGGCAUUUCUGACAGUAGUAGAGGAAGUAGAAAUUCUGCUGGAGCUGACGAUGGUUCUGGGUUGCCUAAAAGUGGCAUGAACAGCCUUUCUGGGGACAAAGGAAGGCGACAGAGUGUUGAUAAGCAGAAGGGCCACUCUGAUGGCCAUAAGAACAGGCCGGAAAGAGCUGGCUCAUCAUCAGCAUUCUCAAAUUCCUUCGCUUCCUCUUCCUCCACCACUCCUGCAAGCCAGACUCAGCAUGCGUCAUUUUCUUCAUCUUCGUCUGUAAGUUUUCGCAUCAAUUCCAGUGGGAACUCCUGGCACGCCAGGCGGCUCAGCAUAACGUCGCCCUCUUCAGCCGGAAGCAACAUAAAAGAACAGUGGAGGGAAAAAGAAGAGGAAGCAAAAAAGAAGCAAAUGCACAAAGACAAGAAAACACUUCUGGCAUCUUGUACAGUCACCAAGGAACAAGACAAUAUUUACGAUCCUUUUAAUCCCACGCUAUCUGAUUCGAGUAGCUCGAGCGACGAAGCCGAGCCCACAAGCCUGAACUUCAGCUCUCAAUUUGGCACUAACAGAGGGAAACCUUCUACUUUAGGAAGCAACAAGGGUUCAGUGCCAAGACGUUGGGAUGCAGUUCAGGUGAAAACUGAAUCAGAGGAGACAGAGUUUUCACAGGAAAUACCCAGGAGCUUGCAGCUUACUGUAACACCAGAAAUAAUAUUUCCCGCAGAUAGUAUCAAAGUUGAAAAGAAAUCCGAUUUAGCCGAAGUUAAGCAGGAGAAGCAAAAGUUAUUCAUUGAUACUGUCAUUAAAGAAGAACCAAGUUCAGAUGAAUAUGAAAGUUCUGAUGACAGGGUUCUAAGUGAGAGUGAGGUAAAAAGUGAGAGUGCAGACACCACAUCACUUUCUCAUCAGCAUAUUAAACACAUAAAAGCCGAGGAAAAUACUCAGCAGAACAGUGGACUUAAUGCCGAAACUUCCAGUAGAUCUUUUCUCAACUACAGGGAUGAUUCAUCGCCUUCCUGCUCGGGUUCCAUCUCAAAGAAACUGAUUGAAGAGACUAAAUCGGAUGAUUCACCAACCUGUGCCAGUACACUGAUGGGAGACUUGGGCCAUAGGAAGCAAACCUCCAAAACGUCAAAGGAUCAACAUCCCAGUAGCUCAGAGACAGACAGAGGCAGAAGAGAAGACCUUCACGCCUUGAAUAAGGAAGGCAAAAAGAAGGAAAGGGAAAAAGCCAGAGAGAAAGACAGGAGCUCAAGGCGAUCAAUAUCAAGAGAAAGAAGGAGGGCACACUCGACCUCUGACAGCUCCCAGCCCAACUCACCAGACAGAGCUUACAGGAAGAGGAGGCGGUCCCGAUCACGGUCCAGAGACAAAACGAGGAGGCGAUCCAGAUCUUGUUCGAGCUCUAGCAGCAGAGAGCGCUCAAAGAUGAAGAAGAAUAAAGGAAAGGAGCGAAAUGAGCACACAGAGAAAAGCAGAGUGUGCAAGGACAGAAGACGGGGUCGAUCACGUUCCAAAUCAAGGUCCAAGUCACGGUCUAGAUCCAGAUCGAGGUCUAAGGAUCGUAAGCGUCGCUUAUCUCGUUCAAGAUCUCGGUCUAGGGAAAGGAGGAAAGAUUGCGCCAGGCAACAUGCAACAGUCUCAUCCAGAGACAAAGUGGAUUCAAGAGCUAAAGAUGGGAGACAAAGGACUAACACCGGCUCAAGAGAGCGAAGGAAAGAUGAAGGAUCGACCAGAAGUACAGACAAAACUUCAGCUUCACAUGUUUCCUCCUCGAAAGGAACAAAUCUCCCACUGGAAAGAAAAAAGGAGAAGGAACUUACACAAAGAAGCAUAGAGAAGAACAAAUGUGCCGGAGUGAAAAAACAAGAGUUGCCUUCCUGUUCUUUUGUUUCUCAGGUAAAAGAUGAAGACAAAAACUUUGAAAGAAGAGAUAUCCCAGCUAAAGAAAUCCCAGUGGAAUUAAAAAAAAAAAAGGAAAUCAAAAAAGAAAAACCACAACCCGUGGAUAUGUUUGAAGAUUGUCCCAUUGGUAAAGAAAUUAAAAGUGAAGAAAAGGAUAAACCUUCUUUGUCAGUGUCCCAGAGCGAUGAUGAGAUAAUGGAGGAUCAGAACAAGACAGAGUUGUAUGAUACAACCAUAAUCAAAUCCGAGGCAAGUCCUACACAGGACUGCCCCUCACCGCCUGUCUCCUCACCUCCUACCCUGUCCACUGAAGACCCCCGCCAUGACUCAGUAUGUCAGUUUCAGCUAAGUUCAUUAGAGUCUGACAAACAACAAAACACAACAGGGGCGGCGGACUCUAUAAUACCGGAACCUUCAGAGUCUGACGAUGAUUUUAAUGUGGAUGUAAUGCUGGACAAUCUCGAUCACGUCAAAUCGGAGCCAGGAGAGGGUAGCGGUGCACGCGCUGACGAGGAGAAAGAAGCUGUGGAGGAGAAGGAAGAGGGGGAACCGACGUCAGCCGCAGCGGGAUCAAAGUCCAAGACUCAAGUGAAGCGCGUCACCUGGAACAUACAGGAGCCAGAGGGACCUCAGCCAGAGAAAUCUCCAAGCAAGCUAGCGCUGUAUAAGUUGAAGUUGAAGCAGGAAGGAUCUCGCAAACCCCCUUUGCCUGUCCAGGCAUCCACUCAGGUUAAAGCUGACAGAGAGGGUUCUUAGGGCUCACUUCAGCCUCUCAGCCUCCUAAAGAGCGAUUAUUGCUGCCCGUAAAGUGACAGGACCAGUCAAGCUCAUCAGCGGUGGCUUUAAAGACCUGAGACCCAGAGACCAGGUCCAGCACAGGACUUGUAGAAAAAAAAAAAAGGCAAGUCUGUGUAAUCCCAUUUCAUCCUUAUUAACUGACACGAAGCGACUCCACAGUUUGUGUCCUCGGUGUUCGAAAUAACGGAAAUAGUCUUUGAGCCGAGCUAGAAGGGUAAAACAGACACGUGGGUUAACUCGGGGUCACAAACAUGAUCGAAAUGUGUCUGAUCCUGUGUGGCCUUGUUUGUAGAUGGUCUUCUGUAUCUCCUCAUCUGACUUUAUAUCUUCUAACAGGUCAACCACUAUCAGUCCAUGUAGGUCUGCUGUGCUGCUCCCCUCUAUAAAUCCUAGCAGCAACAUCUCCAAGGGACAUUUCUCUAUUGUUCUGAGACAGCUCCUAUCUCCUGACCACUUUUGGAUAUGUGUGUAUGUGUGGCCAUUUCCCAGGUGUGUGGCCCUAUUAUCCACAUAUUUGAUAGUGCUGCUUUGGGGUUAUGGGUUAGGUUUAGGACUAAGGUGUGGAGAAGGCAGAGCGAAACAAUAGAAACAAGUGAAAGCCGGGGAGGUGGAGCAAAUACACACAGCUUUUCUAAAUUUUUAUUUGUUUAAAUUACAUGAAUAACUUUUAAUUCCAGUUAACAACUAUGCACCACUUUAUGUUGCUCAGUCAAAACUCCAAUACAAUGCACUGAAGAUUUUUGCAUGGAAAAACUUUAGUUAUCUCAAAGGACAGCAAUGGCAUCUUUCCUGAGACAUUUUUUUGCCAAUAGUUCUGUCAAAAUGGGAAGAAAAAUAUAUUAAAAUUUUUAGCUCUCUGUCUUUCUAGCUUUCAUUCAAACUGAUUUUGCAUAGUCAUCCUUGAAACACAUGGUCCCCUGCUGCUGAUGAAACCCGUCUCCACCACACUCACUCCUCAAAUGUUGAAAUGUUAUCUGCAGCUGUACAUCUUUACAAUCACUUUACAAGUUUACAUUAGGCCAAGUAGAUAUUUAUGUACAGCAGUGUUCACACUUAUUGACGCAUUGGAAACAUUCUUAAAAUAUAUAUAUUUUUUGUGCAGUAGUAUCUCCUCAUACUGAAAAAAAAAAUAUCUAUAACUUGAGUAUGGUUAAAUGACCCAUUAAAUAUAUGCAUUUUACUUUUAUUUUCAAUAAGCAAUAAUUGUUGUAUCCUCUUCUGUGGAAUAUUUUUUACCUUCCAAACAAUUGUACACAAAUUAAAAGUUGUGUUUUCUAAACAUUUUGAUGAAGGAUUAUAAGCAACAACUGUAAUAAACUUAGAAGUUUUUCCAUAGUAUUUGGCCAUACAUGUGGAGGGUGCUGUAUUAUAAAGUAAUGGUCAAGUGAAUUCUCUUCUAUUACAUCUUUCCUAAACAGCGGCAAAGCAAAGCAGGUUUUAUUGAUAGCCCACAUCAUCAGCAUUUAGUCUCAGACAGAAUCACGUGAAAAUGUUGCUGCCUCUGCUCUCUGUGCCUGUCUUCAGUUGUAUCUUCUAGGUAGCUCUUGUAAUUUGAUUCCUGGGAUUAACUUAAGUGAAAAAGUUUAAUCCUAACACUUUGAAGUGUGUAAGAGAUUAGCAUCCCAUCCAGGAACCCCUGAAAAAAAAAAAUCCACAAUUGUUAUUGAUCUAAAGAUAUCUGGCUGCCUUCUUUUCGCUUUGAACAUUGCUCUUUCUUUUCUGGCUUUUGCUCUGCAAGGGGAUGGCCCGUCUUUGCUCGGAAAAGUCACAAAGGCAGAGAGGAACACAAAGACGUGACUCACCGCUUUCAUUCAGUUAAAAUAAUUCUCCGUGGUUCUUGAAAGAAUCAGCAGGACCAGCAGACGGGUCACGUCACCAGGCCUCACUUUGCAUUCCACUCUGCUGAUCCACCCUGUCAAGAGUUUGUAUGUUUGCAAGUCCACCUUUUCUACAUGUGAGAAAAUUUGUCCUCAAGGAUGAAGACACCUACUUUGCUUCAUCCUUCCGCUCUCUGACGGACAUCUACAUGCCCCGCUCUACCAAAAAGAAAGGGGACAAUGCAAUGCAUUCUGACAGCUCCACCAAGCACAAGAAAUGGCUGCUGGCUGUCUCCGAUGCUACUGGGUUCCCCACCCUGUUCACACUCUUGGAAAUGUGUAGCUGUUUUUGCAGUUUUCACAGAAACAGGUUACUUUACAUAUGCAGUAAGCUUCUAAAAGACUAUUAUUACCGUUUAAGUUAAAGUGAGGUACAUCUGUUGGUCUAGUUUAAGAUGUAAUUUCCUUCUGUAACACCCUGCAAGAAUUUUUUAUUUUUAUUUUUUAAAAGGUGCCACUUUCAUCUG